Molecule: ribosomal RNA, 484 nt
Filed under: uncultured bacterium
Lineage: Bacteria
Description: partial 16S ribosomal RNA
Rfam family: Bacterial small subunit ribosomal RNA
Source: RNAcentral
AUUGAACGCUGGCGGCAUGCUUUACACAUGCAAGUCGAACGGCAGCGCGGGCUUCGGCCUGGCGGCGAGUGGCGCACGGGUGAGUAAUACAUCGGAACGUGCCCCGUAGUGGGGGAUAGCUCGGCGAAAGCCGGAUUAAUACCGCAUACGACCUGCGGGUGAAAGCGGGGGAUCUUCGGACCUCGCGCUAUUGGAGCGGCCGAUGGCAGAUUAGCUAGUUGGUGGGGUAAAGGCCUACCAAGGCGACGAUCUGUAGCUGGUCUGAGAGGACGACCAGCCACACUGGGACUGAGACACGGCCCAGACUCCUACGGGAGGCAGCAGUGGGGAAUUUUGGACAAUGGGCGAAAGCCUGAUCCAGCAAUGCCGCGUGUGUGAUGAAGGCCUUCGGGUUGUAAAGCACUUUUGGCGGGAACGAAAAGGACUGUGCCAAUACCACGGUUCGAUGACGGUACCCGCAGAAUAAGCACCGGCUAACUACGUG